Molecule: ribosomal RNA, 435 nt
Filed under: uncultured bacterium
Lineage: Bacteria
Description: bacterial SSU rRNA
Rfam family: Bacterial small subunit ribosomal RNA
Source: RNAcentral
UGAGGAAUAUUGGUCAAUGGACGCAAGUCUGAACCAGCCAUGCCGCGUGCAGGAAGACGGCUCUAUGAGUUGUAAACUGCUUUUGUACGAGGGUAAACCCGGAUACGUGUAUCCGGCUGAAAGUAUCGUACGAAUAAGGAUCGGCUAACUCCGUGCCAGCAGCCGCGGUAAUACGGAGGAUUCAAGCGUUAUCCGGAUUUAUUGGGUUUAAAGGGUGCGUAGGCGGUUUGAUAAGUUAGAGGUGAAAUACCGGUGCUUAACACCGGAACUGCCUCUAAUACUGUUGAGCUAGAGAGUAGUUGCGGUAGGCGGAAUGUAUGGUGUAGCGGUGAAAUGCUUAGAGAUCAUACAGAACACCGAUUGCGAAGGCAGCUUACCAAACUAUAUCUGACGUUGAGGCACGAAAGCGUCGGGGAGCAAACAGGAUUAGAUACC